GCCCUCGUAGCUCAGCUGGAUAGAGCAACCGCCUCCUAAGCGGUAGGCCGCGCGUUCGAGUCGCGCCGAGGGCG
RNAcentral lists this transfer RNA (74 nucleotides) under Nocardioidaceae bacterium. RNAcentral's name for it is "tRNA-Arg". It matches the Rfam family "tRNA". From Rfam's summary of the family: Transfer RNA (tRNA) molecules are approximately 80 nucleotides in length. Their secondary structure includes four short double-helical elements and three loops (D, anti-codon, and T loops). Lineage: Bacteria; Bacillati; Actinomycetota; Actinomycetes; Propionibacteriales; Nocardioidaceae. The record is from RNAcentral.